GAUUGUAUAGCAUAAUUGGUAAUGCGAUAAAUUGCAAAUUUAUUUUAUGGUAGUUCAAGUCUGCCUAUAAUCU
Chrysochromulina sp. is the source of this 73-nucleotide transfer RNA. It matches the Rfam family "tRNA". Rfam says of the family: Transfer RNA (tRNA) molecules are approximately 80 nucleotides in length. Their secondary structure includes four short double-helical elements and three loops (D, anti-codon, and T loops). The record is from Rfam. Lineage: Eukaryota; Haptophyta; Prymnesiales; Chrysochromulinaceae.